UCUCUUCCCUCUCUGACUUCUCUUUUAACUCACUUCUCAUGGAGGGUGGUGCUGGGGGGGGUGGCUGUGGCAUUUCUUGAGAAGUGUCUUAAUACUGUGUAUCACCAACAAAUGGUCAAGUCAAAAGGAACCCUUCUAAAGUAUCAGUAAUGAACACUUUGAUACAUCAUUCUCGAGGAAAGACUGAAUCGACUUUCUAUUCUGUAUACAGAGCAUGUUUCAGAAGGUCGUCAUUUGCAGAGACGAAGAUGACACAAAGAUGUACGUAUUCCAGAGUCAGACAAUUAAUACAGGAGGUUGGGGCAGGGCACGGGACAUUGUUGCCAUUCCUAGCACUGUGGCUUAUCUGCUGGCAUCCUGGACAGCGAGGACCAGGCCCCUCCAGCUCCUGCUGAAUCCUCUGUACAACCAACCUCCCUGUCUCCUGGGCCAGGAGUGCGUUAGCUCCAUGACAAAGCUUUUCCUGCAGGACCCUUGUGCUGUCAUCUGUGUUGGAGGUUGGAGAUGGUGAGAAACCAACAGUGGUUCCAGCUCAGCCUUAGCUUCCUGCUUGUCCUUGCGAUCUCCAACCUUCUCUUCCCCACUGCCUGCCCUGAGAGCUGCGGGAUCCAGCCUCAGAUACAGGAAAAAUCGUCCCAUACAGACUGGGUAGCCAACUCCUGCAAUCACCCAGGGUCCAACUCUUAUCACACCCCUGCCCCCCCCCACCCAGGGGUUCUGCUUCUCUGACCCAAACAUGACUGAUCAUACCCCCAAAUUGCACAGCCAACGAGUGGUGGGGUGGGCUCUUGGCUACAAGGUCCCUUGCACCUCACGCCAAACUUCUCACCCUGCCAUGUCAGUCUCCUCAUCACUAGGCCUGCCUCUACCUGAUGGAUCAUACUUUCUGUGACUCCUUGACAAGACCCACUAGUCCAUCAGCGCAUCUCUGAUGAUGAACUUCCUGAGGGUCCCUGCGCACUCCUCUUCUGAUGGUAUCUGCCCCACUUCCUUCACCUCUCACCUCCUCCCCCACCCACACCCUAUAUUCUAAAGCUCAGUCUCUGCUUUAGAGUUCGUUGCCCUCCUUGACCACCUCCUGGAAUCAGCCUUGACUGAGACGGUUACCUCCAAAGUGCAGUUUGAUUAUCGUGGACAUUGCUGCCAUAAACAUCGGGCUGCAUAUGCCCCUUCGGAUCACUACAUUUGGGAUGCCUAUAAUUAGGUGCAUGCUGACGCUUUAAUAUUCCUGAUCCUGGCGAGUCUCCUGGAAAAGCCUCGACACCUCCAGGUGACCAGCUCUCAUCCAGGAGCCAUCCAGGAACCCACUCAGCAUCACCUCAUUAGAACAAAAGACACUCCCAUCACCCAGGAAAUUACAAGGGCUUCGGAAACUGUAUGCCAGGAGCCAGGGGCAGAGAUGGACAUCUAUUUUCCAUUGUCUCACAGUAGUAAAGAGGAAGCAUUACCAGCAACAGCAACCUUCUUCAUUUAAUUCCUUCCUCUCCACACACAAUUUUUUCUGGGUACACAUUCCCCUUGAAAAGACUUAUGCCAAAGUUGAGACUUCCAGAAGAAGUUGGCCUGUGAUGUAAUAAUGCCAAUCACCUGGGUCAACACACUGGCUUAGCUUGGGGCAAUGCCUAUGAAACAUCAGUUGAAUCCUACUUCUUGAUAAUAAUAAUAAAAAAGAUUAAUGCUGUA
Molecule: long non-coding RNA, 1683 nt
Organism: Canis lupus familiaris (dog)
Lineage: Eukaryota; Metazoa; Chordata; Mammalia; Carnivora; Canidae
Exons: 4
Source: RefSeq, a predicted model, not a curated record